UCCCUGGUGGUCUAGUGGUCAGGAUUCGGCACUCUCACUGCCGCGGCCUGGGUUCGAUUCCCAGCCAGGGAA
Patagioenas fasciata monilis is the source of this 72-nucleotide transfer RNA. It matches the Rfam family "tRNA". From Rfam's summary of the family: Transfer RNA (tRNA) molecules are approximately 80 nucleotides in length. The record is from Rfam. Lineage: Eukaryota; Metazoa; Chordata; Aves; Columbiformes; Columbidae.